GAUGAACGCUGGCGGCGUGCCUAAUACAUGCAAGUCGAGCGAACGGACGAGAAGCUUGCUUCUCUGAUGUUAGCGGCGGACGGGUGAGUAACACGUGGAUAACCUACCUAUAAGACUGGGAUAACUUCGGGAAACCGGAGCUAAUACCGGAUGAUAUUUUGAACCGCAUGGUUCAAAAGUGAAAGACGGUCUUGCUUUCACUUAUAGAUGGAUCCGCGCUUCAUUAGCUAGUUGGUAAGGUAACGGCUUACCAAGGCAACGAUGCAUAGCCGACCUGAGAGGGUGAUCGGCCACACUGGAACUGAGACACGGUCCAGACUCCUACGGGAGGCAGCAGUAGGGAAUCUUCCGCAAUGGGCGAAAGCCUGACGGAACAACGCCGCGUGAGUGAUGAAGGUCUUCGGAUCGUAAAACUCUGUUAUUAGGGAAGAACAUAUGUGUAAGUAACUGUGCACAUCUUGACGGUACCUAAUCAGAAAGCCACGGCUAACUACGUG
RNAcentral lists this ribosomal RNA (497 nucleotides) under uncultured bacterium. RNAcentral describes it as "partial 16S ribosomal RNA". It matches the Rfam family "Bacterial small subunit ribosomal RNA", at positions 28 to 507 of the family's 1533-position model. The record is from RNAcentral.